GCGUCCGUAGCUCAAUUGGAUAGAGCAUCAGGCUUCGGACCUGAGGGUUGGAGGUUCGAGUCCUCCCGGGCGUG
This 74-nucleotide transfer RNA is filed under the name Planctomycetota bacterium. RNAcentral's name for it is "Planctomycetes bacterium tRNA-Arg". It matches the Rfam family "tRNA". Rfam says of the family: Transfer RNA (tRNA) molecules are approximately 80 nucleotides in length. Their secondary structure includes four short double-helical elements and three loops (D, anti-codon, and T loops). Further hydrogen bonds mediate the characteristic L-shaped molecular structure. tRNAs have two regions of fundamental functional importance: the anti-codon, which is responsible for specific mRNA codon recognition, and the 3' end, to which the tRNAs corresponding amino acid is attached (by aminoacyl-tRNA synthetases). tRNAs cope with the degeneracy of the genetic code in two manners: having more than one tRNA (with a specific anti-codon) for a particular amino acid; and 'wobble' base-pairing, i.e. permitting non-standard base-pairing at the 3rd anti-codon position. Lineage: Bacteria; Pseudomonadati; Planctomycetota. The record is from RNAcentral.